This is a long non-coding RNA of Micropterus salmoides (largemouth bass), 365 nucleotides long. RefSeq lists it as uncharacterized. The record is from RefSeq and is a predicted model, not a curated record. The transcript is spliced from 3 exons. NCBI's taxonomy places the organism in Eukaryota, Metazoa, Chordata, Actinopteri, Centrarchiformes, Centrarchidae.
UGUUGGGUGUGGAGACGCGUCUGGGCUGGCGUGCUGCACGUUUGUUGCCGUUAGUUUACUGCGGAGUGAACCGACUUUGUUUCGCCGUGGAUAUUCCCCGUGUGGAUAGAUGAAUACCUGGGCUGCUGGCGUUGGGUGCCUCGCGGGACCGAGCUACAGCCGUGUGCAUGUUGCUGUUGAGGCUGUUGGGUGCCACAGUUAUCUAAGAGGUUAACACUCCCCGGCGUGUUUCUCCUCCCACUCAUGCUGUUCUGGAUAUCGGUAUAAAAUUUUGCUGUGUAUUGAUACAGUGUCUGGAUAUAUGACUGUCCUGGAUGCACAGAACUGGUUUGGAGUAAUACAUUUUAAGUGUUUGAAUAUCCAGA